AGAGAAUCCAAGUUCUCUGAAGCCCUGGAUCACAUUAAUAUGCGCCUUCCCCACGCUUGCCUCUCUGGUUCUACAGCAGCAGCCUAUCUUCUGUCUGCUUGGUUUAGGAAGCUCCUUCUUCAGGGUUUCUGAAUUGCUGGCCUUUUGGUGACGUUUGGCGCAACAACCCUCUCUACCUAUAACCCACAUCGCUGACCUCAGAGCUCAAUGAACGUUUCAUUUACAUGCACAGUCAAAUUAAAUUUGCCCAGCC
Molecule: long non-coding RNA, 253 nt
Filed under: Vulpes vulpes (red fox)
Lineage: Eukaryota; Metazoa; Chordata; Mammalia; Carnivora; Canidae
Description: lncRNA (ENSVVUG00000014225.1)
Source: RNAcentral